RNAcentral lists this long non-coding RNA (2164 nucleotides) under Lepisosteus oculatus (spotted gar). RNAcentral describes it as "lncRNA (ENSLOCG00000023040.1)". The record is from RNAcentral. Lineage: Eukaryota; Metazoa; Chordata; Actinopteri; Semionotiformes; Lepisosteidae.
AGAACCUAAAAAAACUGGAAGAAACAAAAUACUACUCAGCUGUAAAGAGUGUUUGUUAUUUAAACGGUAGCCUAUUUCCUCUCUAAAGGUAGACAAACUGUGCACAAAAGGUGUCAUCACUCAGAAGGUUCUCAUGCUGGAGGAGCUGGAGGAAACACACAUGCAGCAGAAACGACACCUUGACCUGGCCAGCGAUCCAGGCAGACAGUUCACACACACAGAUAUGGCUCGGUUGCUGGAGGACUCGUACACAGAACAUCAUAACCCACAGCCCACUACCCUGCCACCUGAUUCAAGGCAGUCUACUGAUGAGACCAAAACCCAGUCCUUUUCAGAUACCUUCCGGUCUUCAAGCCCAGCUACAGGAGAUUCUAUUACUACACCACAGGGACACCUCUCCAUUGAAUUCCAUGUCUAAUUACACAAACAAAGAGGAUCAACUUCUCCUUCAGGCAUGUGUCAACAAGAAGGAUCUACUGUACACACAAUUGUUCUCUGGACAGUUACGAUAAUUUAAGAUGGCAUAAAUCAUGAAAAACAAUCUCAUUAAAAAAAAUCUUAAGUAAUAUUUGAAUAAAUGGACUGUACCAGCAAAGCAAUAGUUAAAACUGCAUGGGAUUUAUUUAUAAAAGAGAUUAAUAAGAAGACAUUUUAAAAUAUCAUUAGCCAAUAAGCAUGAGUCAUAACAGUGGAAACCGUAAAAUGUAUUAAUACAGAAUAUCAAGGAACAUACCGUUGGUUAAAAAAAGUCUUCCUCUUGAUUGUUUUUAAGGCAAAAGAUGUGGUCCCAAAUUACUUAUUGUAAACACAAUGCUAACACUUCAAUUAUGAGUAGUAGUCAGUAAUAAGUAAAAGUAAUAAGUGUACAAAAACUAUGAAUAUCCUGUUUUAAACUGAUUCCUGUAUUAAUGAUGAUAAUACUAGAGGUGCUUAGAAGUAUACUUUCUGCAUUGUUAGUGUUUUUCUGGUGAUUGUUUUGGGGCAUUAAUCUGUAGAUCCUUCCACUGUAGAAUUUGCUUAGACAGCUCUUCCACAUCUGAUACCAAAGACAGAAGCCGAGUGAGAGCAUUAUCCUGUGGGGGAGAAAAAAAGGAUUCCUACUUAUAUCAACAUUCAGUGACAAACAUUGUUAAGGCUCUACCUAAAUUGUUGUAUAAAUAUACUCUACUGGAAGCAAAGAAGGAAAAAUACAGAAAAGGUAAUUAUAUUUAUUAAAUAAGUGCAUUCAUUUUUAAAAACUUCAACUGAAUUAUUUUCAGAAAAUUAAUUAAGACAACUUUAAGUAAUGUAAAACCUCUGUAACAUUAAGGAUUUUUACUAUGCUUUUGUUUUCACAGAAAAUAAUCUUGGGGAAACUUGUUUGCAAAACAGCCUCUGUGAUUAGAAUUGUUUUUCAAACUGUACUUCCUUAUAAUACGUUAAUAGUUCCCCAAAAGUUCUUCUGUAUUUCAGAACACCUUUAUAGAUUAAAAACAAGCCAAAUUCCACUACUCUCAACGUUACAAUUAAAUAGCAAAUGUGUGACUUGCUAUCAACAUCACAUCAGUCUCACCAUUUGUAUGCAUAUCUGUAUUAACUGACUGUUUUUGUCCUAAUGUGUCUUUGCAGAAAAGAGAAAAGUGGAGUAUAGUUAAAUAUGCUUAGUUUUGUCCUGCUUUCCAAAAGAUUGGUUGUCUCACUAAAUGUAGAAUACAAGGUACCACAUCCAAGAUUCUGAGUGAUCAAAAUGCAUGGAUAUUUUGUCAAUUUGGGGUUCCAGAGAGAAGUCAGGAAAAACAAACAUUGCAAAUCCCAUCAUCUGACAUCAUGCAUCGACAGGUGAACAUCAAGCACAGAGAUUCUAUAUCAUGCAGAGUUACUGUUUGCUCAAGUUGCAUCAUGCAUUUUACAAUAAGAAAUGUACAUUGCAAAAUAUUUAAUAAUAAUAAUUCCUUAGUUUAUAUAGCUCUUUCCUGGACAAUCCACUCAAAGCGUACAGUGUGCCAGUACGCUCCCUUCACACCAGCUAUAUGAAAUCACAAACUUAGCAGGGCCCUAGCUGUUAUGCUUUUCACUCCCCUUUGGAUUUUUGUCUUCACUUUUGCAAUGCUGCAGCUAUAAAUGAAUUCCUGAUGGUGAUACUUGUUAUUUUAGAAUACAAACAUAUUUAACACACUGAUGUCUU